AUGGCGCCCAUGAAGGUGUACGGGUGGGCGGUGUCGCCAUGGAUGGCCCGGGUCCUCGUCUGCUUGGAGGAGGCCGGCGCCGAGUACGAGAUCGUGCCCAUGAGCAGGAGCGGCGGCGAUCACCGGCAGCCGGACCACCUCGCCAGAAACCCCUUCGGUGAGAUCCCGGUGUUGGAGGAUGGCGACUUGACGCUUUACCAAUCUCGUGGCGUCGCAAGGUACAUUCUUCGUAAGUGCAAACCCGAGCUUCUGCGAGCAGGCAACCUCGCCGAGUCGGCGAUGGUGGAUGUAUGGCUCGACGUGGAAGCCCUCCAGCUCGAGCCUAUAGUGCGGCCAAUUGUGGCUAACUGCAUCCUCUACCCGCUCGAAGGGUGCUACCGCGACCAAAAGAUCGUUGAGGAAAAAAUCGAGAAGUUGAAGAAGCUGUUGGAGGUCUACGAGUCAAGGUUAUCCUGCAGCAAGUAUUUGGCCGGGGAUUUCAUCAGCCUCGCCGACCUUAGCCAUUUCUCCUUCAUGCGCUACUUCAUGGCGACGGAGUAUGCAGACCAGCUCGACACUUACCCACACGUCAAGGCAUGGUGGGCCGCGUUGCUUGCAAGGCCUUCGGUCAAGAAGGUGAUGGCUGGCAUGCCUCCCGAUUUUGGGUUUGGGAGUGGGAACAUACCAUAA
This 669-nucleotide ribosomal RNA is filed under the name Triticum aestivum (bread wheat). Its description in RNAcentral is "partial small subunit ribosomal RNA". Lineage: Eukaryota; Viridiplantae; Streptophyta; Magnoliopsida; Poales; Poaceae. The record is from RNAcentral.